RNAcentral lists this long non-coding RNA (374 nucleotides) under Brassica napus (rape). RNAcentral describes it as "long non-coding RNA (BNAP_LNC004502)". Lineage: Eukaryota; Viridiplantae; Streptophyta; Magnoliopsida; Brassicales; Brassicaceae. The record is from RNAcentral.
CAAAUCUCUCUAUGAUAUUCUCUCCUAAAACUCUCUGCUGAAAAUAAGAAUACAAAGGUGGCUCAAAGCUCUCUUGCCUCCUAACAGUUAGGCAAGUAUAUAUAUAUUAGGUUAAAAACUCGUCAGGGGUAAUCUUGUAAUUUUGUGAAGUAUUGGGUUUAAAGUCGGUUGGAACCAAGUCGUGCUUCCGCGUCUCGACAUCGAGCGAUGGUACAGGAUGUACAUCAAUCGAUCUUAAUCUUCAAUCGUUGAGGCUCCUCUUCUGUAUCGAUCGACGACACUGGAUGUGCAUCGACCUCUAAUGGUCAUCUCGAAUGAAUACUCAUUUAAGCUCCUAAAUGCUCCAUAAUCAUCACUUUACUCCAAGAUACUUC